This is a long non-coding RNA of Rosa chinensis, 1759 nucleotides long. RefSeq lists it as uncharacterized. The transcript has 12 exons. The record is from RefSeq and is a predicted model, not a curated record. NCBI's taxonomy places the organism in Eukaryota, Viridiplantae, Streptophyta, Magnoliopsida, Rosales, Rosaceae.
GGCUUCUGUUUUAGUUUGACGGUGGUGGUGUUUCACAAUAGAAAUCAUUUACCAGAGUCCAGAGUUUUUCUCAUAAUCUCAUCAUCAUCGAGUUCCAUCAUCGAGUUCGAUCCCCUCUGAUUCAGUAGAAGAAGAAGUCGAAGCAGUUUUAUACGAGACUGGAGUCUGCGAGAUUCAGAUCGGUGGAGAGAAGAGCGUUUCGUAUCGAAGAUCGUUGGGGUACGACCGUACGAGAAAGAAGAGGAGAGAUUGAAGAUUUUGGUCGAAGAGGUUGCUGGGUUUUCGAAGAGGUUGCUGAUAAGCUGUUUGCUCCAAAAAAAACUAACUUCCAAAAGCCUUACUUGAAAUCAAGAGCUUGGACGUGUUUUGAUUAUCAUUUAUUUUGCAGAGCUCUGAUCACGUCAUAUGCAGCUGGGUUGUUUAUAGCUCAGCUGAAAUUUCGGAGGACUUAUCAUUUGUUGCAAAUGACGAAUCAGACUUUGUACACAAACACCUAGAAUGAUUGACAUUAUUACUGUAUUUUCCAAUUACAACAGCUCGGCUGAAAUUUCGGAGGACUUAUCAUUUGUUGCAAAUGACGAAUCAGACUUUGUACACAAACACCUACUGUUGUUAGGAUAUAAUAUAUAAUGUAGCAAUUAAUAUAACAAUGUUUCUAAAUUCAGUAGCAUCGAAUCAAACAAUAUUGCUCAUAUUCCCGCAGCAUCGCGCGGGUGCAUUUUCUUGUACAUAUAUCUAAAUCCCGGUUAACUGUUCAUCGCUGUGCAAAAUGAAGUGGCCCUUUUGCCCUUUCUGUUUCGCUCAAUUACAAGUUUGCCAUUCUUCUACACCCUUCUUACGAUGGUCUCUAUUUUAGUCUGACGGUGGUGGUGUUUCACAAUAGAAAUCAUUUACUAGAGUCCAGAGUUUUUCUCAUAAUCUCAUCAUCAUCGAGUUCGAUCCCCUCUGAUUCAGUAGAAGAAGAAGUCGAAGCAGUUUUAUACGAGACUGGAGUCUGUUAGAUUCAGAUCGGUGGAGAGAAGAGCGUUUCGUAUCGAAGAUCGUUGGGGUACGAGAAAGAAGAGGAGAGAUUGAAGAUUUUGGUCGAAAAGAUUAUAUGCAAAGAAGUGUGUGUAUUAUUCUUCUGCCGCUGUUCCUCUGUACAUUGUUUGGAAGUAUCUCACCGUCUUAUUGCUAUUCAGAUCUAGAGGACAGCGUGCUGUCAGUCUCUUUUGCUGUUUCGGGUUUAGAUAGAAAUUUUACAGUGAUGGCACCAAAAACUAUGAUGAGAGGAGCAAAAAGAUUGUUAGAACAGUGAUGCUGAAAAUCGUCAGAAUCAACAGAAAAUUCAACGAAUCUGCAGUGGUGAGGGCUUUGUUGCAACAAGAACUAGAUGUAAUCGUGUUGAUCAGGUUAAAUCACGUAGAUGGAAAACAGUGUCUUAUCCAGAAAUUGCUGAAGUAUCAAAUAGCAACGACCAAAAUAUCACUGCAGUUGCGAACGAAAAUCCGCAUAUGAUUACAGAAGGUCAAUACUCUCAUCCAUUUGGUCAAGCAUCAUAUCAAAGAAGCAAGCAAGGAUCAAUUGUAAAAUAUGAGGAUUCGGGUGAUAAUGUUCAUGAAUGUGAUUAUUGCAAUGCAUCUUUUUGGUUCGGAGAAGCUGUUAAGCAAUCAUCUUCAAAUGAGCCUCUCAUUUAUACAAAAUGUUGCAAAAGAGGUCAAAUCAAAAUUGAGCAGCCAAAACCAACACCAAUUUUUCUUGAAAGAUUAUUAGAUCCAAA